AUUUGUUAGAGUUGUACAGCUUUCCAUUAAUUCUGUUAGAGCUAAACUCUAUAUAUAUCAUUGUACACGGAUCAGAAGAGUGAAGAAAAUUCAUUUUACAAUUUCUCUUCAAUUCAUUGGCUUUAGAUUUUAUCAUGGUAUCAGAGCAAUCUGAUGUAGAGACUUGAUGUGCUGACACGUUUGCAGGUGAUUUCUUGGCCAAACAAUGUCCUGGAGGGUAUCCAUGUAGUUUAUAACACUUAUCUCUCUUAUGGCCAGUAUGCCACAGUAACUACAAACAGGUCUAUCCUUUCUUUGUCCCUGGUUGUUGCUGUUUGCAUGCUUGACAAACUGUUGUUGAUUGAGAGCACCAUGAUUGGAAAAAGCAGCAACCUCUACAUUUUGAUGCAAAGAUGUAACCUGUCUUUGCUUUUCUUCUUGAGAAACCAUGGCAAAAACACGAUUCAGUGGAGGAAUUGGACCCAUAAGAAGGAUCUGGCUUCUAACAUCAUUAUAGGAAUCAUCUAAGCCCAUCAAGAAUUGCAUAACCUCAUCAUCAGAUUGGUAGCGAUUAUAAUUCUGCGGCCUGUAGUGAGCCAAUUCUUCCCAAAGCCCUUUCAAUCUAUUAAAAUAAGAAUUGAUAGAUCCAUUGUUCUGUGAAAUUGAAGAAAUCAAUUUUUGCAGUUGAUAAAUGCGAGGACCAUUACUUUGAUUGUAUCUGUCGUGAAGCUCAAGCCAAAUUUCCCGUGCUGAGUCUUUAUGCAUGACACUAGGAUAAAGCUCUUUGAGAAUCGAAUUGAUUAUCCAUGCAGACACCACAUGGUUAUAUCUUCUCCAUGGAAUGAAAAGGAGAUCAUUGAGAUUUGGCUUAGAGAUUGUUUCGUCAAUGAAGCCUUCUUUAUUCUUGACACUCAAGGCCAUGGUUAUUGCCCAACUCCAAGUGGAGUAAUUUCAUCAGAAAGAAGAACAGAGAUGAGCUGUGUACCAGUAUUUUCGCCAUAAUGAAGAUAGUAUUGACUAUUAGGAUCGUCCAUGAUUCGGGAGUUGAUUUGUGCAGGAAUUGCAGUAGCACCAGUAGGAUUUGUCGGUGGAUUUGAUGAUCGAGAGAUGGGAAUUGAGGUACCUUCAUGAAUUGUACAAUCUAUGUGAAUCUGAGAGGUGACUUGAUGAUCAUCAGCCAUAGUUAAAAGCAGAAGCUAGAGAGAUAGCUCUAAUACCAUUUUAAAUUCUUUGAAUGAGAAAAACUUCAAUUGAACCCCAUAAAGGAGAAGAAGAAGCACUCCAUGAAAGGAAGAAAUACAACUCAUAAAGGAGGAUGAUAACACUCCAUAAAAAGGAGGAAGAGAAACUGCAUAGAAGGAGAACAUGAAACCUCCAUAGGAGGGAUUGGAAUUCCACAUUCCAAUGAAUAUUCAAUGCAUACACGUCUGUAUUUAUAAAGAAAUAUAUAGGAUAAUUAACUAACUAACUUGACUACUAACUACUAAACUAAUUUUGACAGCUGGAAGAAUAUUCUGCUUGAACUGGAAUCUGAUUUGGAAUAUUCAUCCUGAUGUGGAAGCUGUUGGAAUCUGGUGCAAUUGCAUUCCAACACACCCGCCUCAAGAUGGACUAGGAGAUCCAUCUUGAAGAUGAGAGAAAUGGAGUGAAACAUGGAUGCAUCAGCUGAUGAUUUUCCUUCAAGCAUCACUGCUAAUAUAAUUGUAGUAGAGACGCCACUACCAACAUACACAACACUUUAUGAUGACAUAAGCAUUGGAAGAGAUUUCUAAUGGAUUCCAUUCCUUCUUCAGUUGGUUGAUGGAAACUUGUCUGCAGAAGACCUUCUUAAACUGGUCAAUAUAAGCAACAUCAUUUCCAGCAACGAUGAUAUCAUCAACAUAGACCAAUAAAAUGGUAUCAGAGCACAUUGCUUCUUACUACUAUAUUUUUCUGAGAUUAAUUCAUCACGUUUUUUUGUUUUCUGAUCAAAUAAAAGCAUAUUUAUGGUUUCGUUCUGAUUUCUUCCAAUUUUGGAAAAUUCUUGAAACUGGAGCACCAGCACGUGUGAUAUGGACAACAGCCUAUCAUCAAUUAGUUUCUCAGAUCAGUUUCAAUAUUCAUUGUUACUUGCACCGAAAUUCUUAUCCUCUGUUAUAGCUUCAUCAUUCUUUGAACUCUGAUAACUCAGACGAACAACCAUCGAUCGAGGCACUAGGAGUUGCAUCUAUGAUCACGGUAUGUUCAAGGUUUUGCUUAUUCUAUUAGUCAACUCAAAGAGAACAAACGUGACAUUCAACUUGUGUGAGUUAAAUUCUGCUGGACAACUAAGAUUGCUCAACGAACAUCAUCAUCUUUCAUGCGAUUGGUUGCAUUAGACGUAUCUAGAAUUUCAUUGAUUUGAGUAUUGUAAAAUUGAAUGCUACUGUUAAAGCUGAUGUUACUGUAGAUAAAGAAGAAGAUGAGGCUUUGGAUGAUUAUGCACAAGCUUUGAUGUGCACAUAAGGUGUUUGGUAAAAUGUCCAACAAGAUCAACUGGCAGACAUGUUAACUAAAUCAGUUGGAGGACUUGGGUUUCGGACACUCCUAAGCAAGAUGAGGGUUCAUAAUAUUCACCUUCCAUCUUGAGGGGGCGUAUCACAGAGAAAUUCUUGUAUUAGUUAGUUAAUGACAUGGCAGUUAGUUAAUUAAUUAGUAACAUGGCUGCUAGUUGUUAGUUAAUAUUCUGUUAUUUGUUAGAGUUG
Molecule: long non-coding RNA, 2702 nt
Filed under: Olea europaea subsp. europaea
Lineage: Eukaryota; Viridiplantae; Streptophyta; Magnoliopsida; Lamiales; Oleaceae
Source: RNAcentral